Molecule: ribosomal RNA, 373 nt
Filed under: uncultured organism
Description: partial 16S ribosomal RNA
Rfam family: Bacterial small subunit ribosomal RNA
Source: RNAcentral
GUAGGUGGCAAGCGUUGUCCGGAAUUAUUGGGCGUAAAGCGCGCGCAGGCGGUUUUUUAAGUCUGAUGUGAAAGCCCACGGCUCAACCGUGGAGGGUCAUUGGAAACUGGAGAACUUGAGUACAGAAGAGGAAAGCGGAAUUCCACGUGUAGCGGUGAAAUGCGUAGAGAUGUGGAGGAACACCAGUGGCGAAGGCGGCUUUCUGGUCUGUAACUGACGCUGAGGCGCGGAAGCGUGGGGAGCAAACAGGGAUUAGAUACCCUGGUAGUCCACGCCGUAAACGAUGAGUGCUAAGUGUUAGGGGGUUUCCCGCCCCUUAGUGCUGCAGCUAACGCAUUAAGCACUCCGCCUGGGGAGUACGGCCGCAAGGCUG